RNAcentral lists this transfer RNA (39 nucleotides) under Geum geniculatum. RNAcentral's name for it is "partial transfer RNA-Phe (GAA)". The record is from RNAcentral. RNAcentral also lists the same sequence under 3 other names. Lineage: Eukaryota; Viridiplantae; Streptophyta; Magnoliopsida; Rosales; Rosaceae.
UCGGGAUAGCUCAGUUGGUAGAGCAGAGGACUGAAAAUC